UGGGGGAUAUUGCGCAAUGGAGGAAACUCUGACGCAGCAACGCCGCGUGAAGGAAGAAGGUCUUCGGAUUGUAAACUUUUGUCUUCGGGGACGAUAAUGACGGUACCAGAGGAGGAAGCCACGGCUAACUACGUGCCAGCAGCCGCGGUAAUACGUAGGUGGCAAGCGUUGUCCGGAUUUACUGGGCGUAAAGGAUGCGUAGGCGGAUACUUAAGUCAGAUGUGAAAAUCCCGGGCUUAACUUGGGAACUGCAUUUGAAACUGGGUAUCUAGAGUGCGGGAGAGGAAAGUGGAAUUCCUAGUGUAGCGGUGAAAUGCGUAGAGAUUAGGAAGAACACCAGUGGCGAAGGCGACUUUCUGGACCGUAACUGACGCUGAGGCAUGAAAGCGUGGGGAGCAAACA
RNAcentral lists this ribosomal RNA (402 nucleotides) under uncultured bacterium. RNAcentral describes it as "bacterial SSU rRNA". It matches the Rfam family "Bacterial small subunit ribosomal RNA", at positions 355 to 774 of the family's 1533-position model. The record is from RNAcentral.